GGGGAGUGACGUCAAGUCCUCAUGGCCUUUAUGCCCAGGGCUACACACGUGCUACAAUGGGUGGUACAAAGAGAUGCCAACUCGCGAGAGCGCGCCAAUCUCAGAAAGCCAUCCUCAGUUCGGAUUGGAGUCUGCAACUCGACUCCAUGAAGUUGGAAUCGCUAGUAAUCGCGGAUCAGCACGCCGCGGUGAAUACGUUCCCGGGCCUU
Molecule: ribosomal RNA, 209 nt
Filed under: uncultured Smithella sp.
Lineage: Bacteria; Pseudomonadati; Thermodesulfobacteriota; Syntrophia; Syntrophales; Smithellaceae
Description: partial 16S ribosomal RNA
Rfam family: Bacterial small subunit ribosomal RNA
Source: RNAcentral